Molecule: transfer RNA, 75 nt
Filed under: Candidatus Sungbacteria bacterium RIFCSPLOWO2_02_FULL_48_13b
Lineage: Bacteria; Candidatus Sungiibacteriota
Description: tRNA-Val
Rfam family: tRNA
About the family: Transfer RNA (tRNA) molecules are approximately 80 nucleotides in length. Their secondary structure includes four short double-helical elements and three loops (D, anti-codon, and T loops).
Source: RNAcentral
GGGUGAUUAGCUCAGUGGUAGAGCGUUGCAUUCACAUUGCAAAGGCCACAGGUUCGAUACCUGUAUCACCCACCA